AAUUGUUCCUCGUUAAGAGAUUUGAAUUGUACUCAUUCCAAUUAUAAGACCCUAAAGAGCCCUAUAUCGUUAUUUAUUGUCACUACCUCCCCGUGUCGGGAUUGGGUAAUUUGCGCGCCUGCUGCCUUCCAUGGAUGUGGUAGCCGUUUCUCAGGCUCCCUCUCCGGAAUCGAACCCUUAUUCCCCGUUACCCGUUGAAACCAUGGUAGGCCACUAUCCUACCAUCGAAAGUUGAUAGGGCAGAUAUUUGAAUGAAGCAUCGCCAGCACAAGGCCAUGCGAUUCGAGAAGUUAUUAUGAAUCACCAAAUGAGCGGCGAGCCGCGUUGGUUUUUUAUCUAAUAAAUACACCCCUUCCGGAAGUCGGGGCUUGAUUGCAUGUAUUAGCUCUAGAAUUACCACAGUUAUCCAUGUAGCAAGGUAACAUCAAAUAAACUAUAACUGAUUUAAUGAGCCAUUCGCAGUUUCACAGUACAAAGUUGUUUAUACUUAGACAUGCAUGGCUUAAUCUUUGAGACAAGCAUAUGCUA
This 528-nucleotide ribosomal RNA is filed under the name uncultured eukaryote. RNAcentral describes it as "partial 18S ribosomal RNA". The record is from RNAcentral.